This 555-nucleotide ribosomal RNA is filed under the name uncultured bacterium. Its description in RNAcentral is "partial 16S ribosomal RNA". It matches the Rfam family "Bacterial small subunit ribosomal RNA", at positions 355 to 900 of the family's 1533-position model. The record is from RNAcentral.
UAGGGAAUCUUCCACAAUGGACGCAAGUCUGAUGGAGCAACGGCCGCGUGAGUGAAGAAGGUUUUCGGACCGUAAAGCUCUGUUGUUGGUGAAGAAGGAUAGAGGUAGUAACUGGCCUUUAUUUGACGGUAAUCAACCAGAAAGUCACGGCUAACUACGUGCCAGCAGCCGCGGUAAUCGUAGGUGGCAAGCGUUGUCCGGAUUUAUUGGGCGUAAAGCGAGCGCAGGCGGAAGAAUAAGUUUGAUGUGAAAGCCCUCAGCUUAACCGAGGAAUUGCAUCGGAAACUGUUUUUCUUGAGUGCAGAAGAGGAGAGUAGAACUCCAUGUGUAGCGGUGGAAUGCGUAGAUAUAUGGAAGAAUACCAGUGGCGAAGGCGGCUCUCUGGUCUGCAACUGACGCUGAGGCUCGAAAGCAUGGGUAGCGAACAGGAUUAGAUACCCUGGUAGUCCAUGCCGUAAACGAUGAGUGCUAAGUGUUGGGAGGCUUCCGCCUCUCAGUGCUGCAGCUAACGCAUUAAGCACUCCGCCUGGGGGAGUACGACCGCAAGGUUGAAAC